RNAcentral lists this ribosomal RNA (423 nucleotides) under uncultured bacterium. RNAcentral's name for it is "bacterial SSU rRNA". It matches the Rfam family "Bacterial small subunit ribosomal RNA", at positions 358 to 773 of the family's 1533-position model. The record is from RNAcentral.
GGAAUAUUGGACAAUGGGCGAAAGCCUGAUCCAGCAAUGCCGCGUGUGUGAAGAAGGCCUGCGGGUUGUAAAGCACUUUUGUCGGGAAAGAAAAUCACAGGGUUAAUACCCAUGUGCCUUGACGGUACCCGAAGAAUAAGCACCGGCUCACUCCGUGCCAGCAGCCGCGGUAAUACGGAGGGUGCAAGCGUUAAUCGGAAUUACUGGGCGUAAAGCGAGUGUAGGUGGCUAUGUAAGUCGGAUGUGAAAUCCCCGGGCUCAACCUGGGAACUGCAUUCGAUACUGCAUGGCUAGAGUCUGAUAGAGGGAAGUGGAAUUCCAGGUGUAGCGGUGAAAUGCGUAGAUAUCGGGAGGAACAUCCGUGGCGAAGGCGGCUACCUGGACCAGCACUGACACUGAGGCACGAAAGCGUGGGGAGCAAAC